Molecule: long non-coding RNA, 514 nt
Organism: Biomphalaria glabrata
Lineage: Eukaryota; Metazoa; Mollusca; Gastropoda; Planorbidae
Exons: 3
Source: RefSeq, a predicted model, not a curated record
GUCAACGCAUUUCAAAGCAAAGUCUGUCACUAGAGACGUCGACGUCAUAAUGAAACAUUGUACAUUUCUUUCUUUUGUUACUUUAAUUGCACUUGCAACAGUGACUUAUGGUCUACCAAAACAAGUGUUAAACAGGAACUGUUUUAAUGCAAUGUCCUGCUCUGAUGAUCCAUGCUUGAUGUCUGAUUGUCCAGUUCGAUGUGUCCACACCUGUGAUUGUGGCUACAUCUGUGCCCCACAGUUCGGCUUUGCUAUACCAUAGACUUUGGACACAAACGUUGAAUCCAAUGUUUCUAUGCAUCUCUUCCUAUUGUCUCUACAUCUAUUAUAUUGAUAUGCUCAAUUCAUUUUUUACUUAUUUUAAUAUGAAUUCAAUUAGUAUUGUUCACCUUUUAUCUCUUGAAUAAAUGCUGAAUUAUUUUAAACGCUACCAUAAGCUGAUAAAAACAUUGAAAAAUAAAUUUGUACAUUUUUGUAUUUAUGUCUCGGACUUAGUAAAUGUCUUAGAAUUCAA